GUGCCAGCAGCCGCGGUAAUACGUAGGUGGCAAGCGUUGUCCGGAUUUAUUGGGCGUAAAGUGAGCGCAGGCGGUUUCUUAAGUCUGAUGUGAAAGCCCCCGGCUCAACCGGGGAGGGUCAUUGGAAACUGGGAGACUUGAGUGCAGAAGAGGAGAGUGGAAUUCCAUGUGUAGCGGUGAAAUGCGUAGAUAUAUGGAGGAACACCAGUGGCGAAGGCGGCUCUCUGGUCUGUAACUGACGCUGAGGCUCGAAAGCGUGGGGAGCAAACAGGAUUAGAUACCCUGGUAGUCC
This 292-nucleotide ribosomal RNA is filed under the name uncultured microorganism. RNAcentral describes it as "partial 16S ribosomal RNA". It matches the Rfam family "Bacterial small subunit ribosomal RNA", at positions 505 to 796 of the family's 1533-position model. The record is from RNAcentral.